This 369-nucleotide ribosomal RNA is filed under the name uncultured bacterium. RNAcentral describes it as "bacterial SSU rRNA". It matches the Rfam family "Bacterial small subunit ribosomal RNA", at positions 527 to 896 of the family's 1533-position model. The record is from RNAcentral.
GUAGGGUGCGAGCGUUAAUCGGAAUUACUGGGCGUAAAGCGAGCGCAGACGGUUAAAUAAGUCAGAUGUGAAAUCCCCGAGCUCAACUUGGGACGUGCAUUUGAAACUGUGUAACUAGAGUGUGUCAGAGGGAGGUAGAAUUCCACGUGUAGCAGUGAAAUGCGUAGAGAUGUGGAGGAAUACCGAUGGCGAAGGCAGCCUCCUGGGAUAACACUGACGUUCAUGCUCGAAAGCGUGGGUAGCAAACAGGAUUAGAUACCCUGGUAGUCCACGCCCUAAACGAUGACAAUUAGCUGUUGGGACACUAGAUGUCUUGGUAGCGAACUAACGCGUGAAAUUGUCCGCCUGGGGAGUACGGUCGCAAGAUUA